This 789-nucleotide ribosomal RNA is filed under the name uncultured bacterium. RNAcentral describes it as "bacterial SSU rRNA". It matches the Rfam family "Bacterial small subunit ribosomal RNA", at positions 8 to 796 of the family's 1533-position model. The record is from RNAcentral.
AGAGUUUGAUCCUGGCUCAGGACGAGCGCUGGCGGCGUGCUUAACACAUGCAAGUCGAACGGGAAGGCCCUUUCGGGGGUACUCGAGUGGCGAACGGGUGAGUAACACGUGGGUGAUCUGCCCUGCACUUUGGGAUAAGCCUGGGAAACUGGGUCUAAUACCGAAUACACCCUGCUGGUCGCAUGGCCUGGUGGGGGAAAGCUUUUGCGGUGUGGGAUGGGCCCGCGGCCUAUCAGCUUGUUGGUGGGGUGAUGGCCUACCAAGGCGACGACGGGUAGCCGGCCUGAGAGGGUGUCCGGCCACACUGGGACUGAGAUACGGCCCAGACUCCUACGGGAGGCAGCAGUGGGGAAUAUUGCACAAUGGGCGCAAGCCUGAUGCAGCGACGCCGCGUGGGGGAUGACGGCCUUCGGGUUGUAAACCUCUUUCACCAUCGGCGAAGCCCAUGAUUUUUGUUGUGGGUGACGGUAGGUGGAGAAGAAGCACCGGCCAACUACGUGCCAGCAGCCGCGGUAAUACGUAGGGUGCGAGCGUUGUCCGGAAUUACUGGGCGUAAAGAGCUCGUAGGUGGUUUGUCGCGUUGUCCGUGAAAUUCCCUGGCUUAACUGGGGGCGUGCGGGCGAUACGGGCAGACUAGAGUACUGCAGGGGAGACUGGAAUUCCUGGUGUAGCGGUGGAAUGCGCAGAUAUCAGGAGGAACACCGGUGGCGAAGGCGGGUCUCUGGGCAGUAACUGACGCUGAGGAGCGAAAGCGUGGGGAGCGAACAGGAUUAGAUACCCUGGUAGUCC